AAUAUCCAGCAUUUUAUUUUGCCAUCUUCUACUAGCUCAAUUUUCAUAUGCUUGAAAGAGAUAAAAGUUAUUAUUGACAUUCCAUUCCAUUCUGUUCCCUGAGGUUCAGUUCUGAUAAGAACUGAAGAGAGGCUACCCUUAUCUGCUUAAUAACAGUAUGUUUGCUUUAACUGAGGAAAAGUUAAUGUCUGGUAGCUCUUUUUGUUCUAUCGUUGCUCCUUUUUCAAAGU
Molecule: long non-coding RNA, 230 nt
Filed under: Pan troglodytes (chimpanzee)
Lineage: Eukaryota; Metazoa; Chordata; Mammalia; Primates; Hominidae
Description: long non-coding RNA NONPTRT015263
Source: RNAcentral